AUUAGAUUAAAUUGAAUUUAGUUUAAAGUAUAAUUAAAAGUGUAUUGUUAAAUUUUUUUCACAUGAUAAAAAUAACAUUGGAUUGAAUUUCAAUUGAACACUUAACUACCUCAACAUGUGUAUAUAGUAUUCUUUUCAUCCGUGUCUAAAGUCAGUUUGUGAUCGGUCGUUCACCUUGAGAGAUCUGAAGAGACAGGACUAUAAGGCCAUGGACAUGUUUUUUUUUUGCAGUAUGAAAACUGCAUAAUAAACCUAUACAGACAAGUGGUACAGAGAGGAUAUAAUUCCGCGCAUCAUUACUCAGGCGUGUCAACAUUACCGGUUCAAUAUCGAGAUCAAUAGAUGAUUCUAUUGCGAGUUACAGUGAACACCGCAAAAUAACUAUUUUUGGGGGAGCCAGAGGAAAUGUACUGUCACUCGAUCAAUUCUCAAUAUUUUGCAAUGAAAAUUUGGUGAAAUACUGUUCAAAUGUUGUACUAUUAUAUAAAAAUUUAAUAAAUAUAUAUUAA
Molecule: long non-coding RNA, 509 nt
Organism: Leptopilina boulardi
Lineage: Eukaryota; Metazoa; Arthropoda; Insecta; Hymenoptera; Figitidae
Exons: 3
Source: RefSeq, a predicted model, not a curated record